Molecule: ribosomal RNA, 441 nt
Filed under: uncultured bacterium
Lineage: Bacteria
Description: bacterial SSU rRNA
Rfam family: Bacterial small subunit ribosomal RNA
Source: RNAcentral
AUUGAACGCUGGCGGAAUGCUUUACACAUGCAAGUCGAACGGUAGAGGGGGCAACCCCUUGAGAGUGGCGAACGGGUGAGUAAUAUAUCGGAACGUGCCCAGUCGUGGGGAUAACGUAGCGAAAGUUACGCUAAUACCGCAUACGAUCUAAGGAUGAAAGCGGGGGAUCGCAAGACCUCGCGCGAUUGGAGCGGCCGAUAUCAGAUUAGGUAGUUGGUGGGGUAAAGGCUCACCAAGCCAACGAUCUGUAGCUGGUCUGAGAGGACGACCAGCCACACUGGAACUGAGACACGGUCCAGACUCCUACGGGAGGCAGCAGUGGGGAAUUUUGGACAAUGGACGCAAGUCUGAUCCAGCCAUUCCGCGUGCAGGAUGAAGGCCUCGGGUUGUAAACUGCUUUUGUACGGAACGAAAAGGUUUCGUCUUAAUACGAGGAGCUCA